AGGAGCAGGGGUAUCUCUUUGCUAGGAAGGUCUUUGCAACCUCCUGGCACUUCUAAUUGUUUAAAAUAUAGCAGCCACAACCUCCCUACAGAGUCAACAUCACUGAGAGUGAUUUGGGGCCUGAGACAAAGGUUGCACCGUGGGCUGAUAAAAGCUGACAAUUUCAGACACCUAAAACAGAUUUUCCUGUCUCCACUUGUCAACUCCCACACCAGCCAUUUCUUGACAACAGAAAUUUGAAAAACGAAUACCCUGUGUCUGACAUUGAUGGAAAACCAUCUGUGUUAAUGUACCUCAUCCUGACCACUCGCAGCCUGGUGCAUACUAAGUGCUCAGAACACAAGUGUUGAACAACAUAUUAAAAUAUGUAUCAUUAUUAUCCUUCCUUUAAAAAUGAGGAAACUAAGCAGAGUUUAGAUUAAUGAUAUACAGCAAAUGAUGAAUUUGGCAUUCAUAGCCAAGCAGUCAUAUUUAAGAGCCUACUCUUGGAAAAAUGUGGUGGUUAAAGAAGUUAUUAAUACAGAGGAGUGGAAUUACUGGAUCAUAUGGAAGUUCUAUUCUUAGUUUUUGAGAAUCCUCCACAUUGCCUUCCACAGUGUCCAUACCAAUCAGCAUUCCCACCAACAAGGUAGAAUGAGACUGGGAAGGCUUGAGCAUGAACUUCCACUGGGUCACCCUGAUAGUGUCACGUCACCAGUCUUUCAGCAUGCCAUCCAGAACUAGUGACAGAAUAUGCCAACUGGAGGAAGAAGGUCAGGACACCAAGAAGAGGAGAGCAAGCUCACAGCUCACUCCUGAAAUGAAUCCCACGUUUGAAUUCUCCUGGCUGCAUUUAUGUGACAUUGUAUAUUUUUGCCACUUAUAGGCAUUUGCACUUAAAAAGGAUGUUCUGGGAUGCUUCGGUGACUUCUAGUAGAAAAAUGCAAAUAAAUGUAGAUUUCUGUUAUUAUCAGCUUCAUCAAAGCAAACAGGCAGAAGCAGGAACAUUAUUGGAGUUUGAUAAGUGGUAUAUUUGAAUGAUUUCCCCAGAGGACUGGGGAAAGCACAUCUUGUUCCAUUUCCUGUUACAGUUGAGCCUCAGUUGCUUCAUGCAGAGUUACCUGCAUAUACCACUCUCAAACCUCCACCCUCACUUUUUUUUUUUUUUUAGGGUGAGAGCUGCUCUUUUGUUUUCUGAAAUGCAAUUGCAAUAAAUGGUAGACUUGAAUCAAGACUCUUAGGUAGAAGCAAGUGAGAAAAUGCAUGAAUAACAUAACAGAGCAUUGGAAGAAUCAUUUCAGAAGGCAAUGUUUAUAUCAUAGAAAAAAGAGAACUUAUAGUCUAGUUCUCCAAUUAGAACCAAGUGAAAAUAAGGACUUCUAGGGACCUCUUGUUGGAUUUCCAGUCUAGACCAUAUCAUUUAUCUUUGGAUAUAGUUUGGAAUAUCUUCUGACAUUGUCACCUGAAUAAAUCCAAAUUUCCUGGAAGACAGAGGUCUUGUGUUUAGUUAUGUAUAAUACUAAGCCCGGCACAUUUCUAUGCAGAUGGAAGGCUCUUAAUAAACUAAUGCUGAUUGAGUGACUGUUAAUCCACAGCAGGGUCAAAACUGGAAAUGGCCAUUUGAUAGCAAGCCAGUAUAUGUGACCAGGCGUGUUCUGAACGUCUAAUUACUCAUUCUAGAAAAAUAUAUCAUUUGCUUUGAUGAGACAAAAAAUAAAAAUCAAUUAGAUGAUUGUCUCCAAAAAUGUAUAAAAGACUGCAUCAUUCCUAAGUGCCUAUUAUUAUAGAACACAAUGCCUCAAAUGAAAUGAAAUUUCUGUAUUUUAAGACACAGUGGGAUUUCAGGAGCAAUUUCAUAACAGAUGGGAUGCUUAAGAAUGAUUCCUCUAAUUUUUCUUACGGACAGCCUUCACUUGGUGUUGGAUUGGACUCAUCAAAAGAUCACUGGACAGGAAGCAGGAGCCUUGAAUUCUGAUUUUAACUCUGUAUGUAGUUCACUUGCUGGGUUAAGUCUUCGAUUUUUAGCAGAGAGGGGAAAUGCUCUCGGGGGGCUGAGUUUAUUCCCUAAGGCAAGUUCUCCAGAUUUCAUUUGCAUCAGAGUCACCUGGAGGGUUGGUUAAAACUGAUUGCUGGGCUUCACGUCCAGAUUUUCUGAUUUAGUCGAUCUGGAGUUGGGGGAGGAAUUUACAUUGCUAAUGAGUUCCCUGGUGAAGCUGCAAAUGCUGACCCUGUGGUCUCAGUUUGAGAACCGCUGCCUUAGGCGAAAAGACCAGAUAGGACCCUGCUAGUCUCCAAGGUUUUUCUCUGCUACCUCCUCUGUUUCUAAGCAUUCGUGUUUCUUGCCGGCUGGCUCCAUCUGCACAGCUGGGCUCUCUCCGAGGGCCUCUUUCCUGCAGGAGCCCCCGGUGAUAACAACAAUCACAGCAAGCCUCGCUUCUUCCUUGCAUUCUUUCUAAUGACGCCUCAAGCCUCAGGAGCCACCUUACACGGCUCUGCACAGCUCCCCCCAAUCAUGGCGCAAAGUAAACUGUCAGACCUCGCAAACAAAGACAGAGUGCAGGGCCAACCCGCCGCUGAGCCUUUGCCUCUGGCGCUUCCUCUCUCCACCGCCGUUGGAAGGCUCUUUGCUCGCCUGGGAGGUGCUGGCAUCAGAAGGAAUCUGAUUUGCAAGAAGAAGGCUCUGGAUCUUGUACCACAUCCAGAAAGGGACCAUUAGGAAGAUGGGAAAGAGAAGGUGCUUGAAAAUUCCAAAGACUUCCAAUGAAACUGGAGGAUGCAUUCAGGACAUAAAGAUGUACUGGCAGUGAUCAGAGGACAUGUGGGGAGCAGUUUCUCCAGGAAUGCCUCACAGGAAGCAAGGCCAAUUAGUGCAUUGGGCUGCAUCAGGAAAGUGUGAGCUGAAAGAGGAGUGACAUUCCGGAAAGAUUUCUUUUCAAGCUCUGUGUCUUUAGGAAGCUUCCGUGCAGUGACCUUAUACUUGGAAUUCAGCUUUCAGCUGGUAUAUCCAGCAUUAAAGGUGACAGGGAAAAUAAAAGUCUUCUUCGAAA
This is a long non-coding RNA of Bubalus bubalis (water buffalo), 3026 nucleotides long. RefSeq lists it as uncharacterized. The transcript has 8 exons. NCBI's taxonomy places the organism in Eukaryota, Metazoa, Chordata, Mammalia, Artiodactyla, Bovidae. The record is from RefSeq and is a predicted model, not a curated record.